Long non-coding RNA from Syngnathoides biaculeatus (alligator pipefish), 1277 nucleotides. RefSeq lists it as uncharacterized. The record is from RefSeq and is a predicted model, not a curated record. Lineage: Eukaryota; Metazoa; Chordata; Actinopteri; Syngnathiformes; Syngnathidae. The transcript is spliced from 3 exons.
UUAUGAGAUACUACCAGAGCCAUGAAAGGGAAUACUGAAAAAGGAAGGAAUUGACACAGACAGGAGAAUGAUGUUUCGCACUUGACACUCACUUCUUCCACUCUGGCAUGUCGAAAGCAAUCGCAAUUUUCCAUUAAUAUUUUAGAUUUCGCACACAGUGUCUGGACAGUGACAGAUGAACACAAGAUACUGUUUCCUAAUUUGACAUAACGUGACUAACAACUGACUAGAGAGGCCUGCGACAUGACAUCACAAUCAGGAGAUUUCCGGCCUCGCACCAUGUUGGAAGACAAACAAGUGCACCGGCGGCUGCAGCUCCACGCACAAGUGACCACAUUACUUUUAAAACUUUAACAAACCAACCAGUCUCCAGGUGUGGUUAAAUUCUGCUCUGAAGUUGUCCCAGUUACUCGCCAAAUCGCCAGCCAUCUUCAUCUCCUCCGGAGGUGGAAUGUUCACUGCCAUGUUGACGUCGUUAGCCUGGCCCGUUGCUAAUUCCUCCGGCUGCUUCGGUUGUUGUUGUUUUUUUUUUUCUUUUUUUUUUUUGCAUCCUGCGUUGAAACGGUGUAUUAAUCCAUUGUGUUGUCUUUUGUUCUAGCCACUCCUGACACCAUUUUUGUGGGUGUGUGUCAACAAAAAACGAUGUGAGACAGCUUUGAAUGCUCAGUAGUGCUUGUAUUUAGUCACGGCUCUCCACAUAACAUUCCCACGCUUCCGCAUACGCUACGCUACUGAAACAAACCAUUGCGAAGGGGGUGGACACAACUAUUCCUAACUGUUGGCUGCUUCAACAUAGCAGGACCCGACAUAAACAGGUCAAGAGACAAGUCAGGAUUCCAGCUGUUAUAAAAAGGCAGGGAGAACAAUCUGAAAAACUUUGUUCUAAACGUCAAAGGGAUUACCUGGCAGCAUUGUGCAGAGCAGAUCUAAACAAUGCUAAUCUGUCCCGGUAUUGUGUCUGCUCGGAUAAUUUUGUCACUGGUGUCAUGAGAGCGUGUCAUCCUUUUCCAUACUACUGUGUGCAGUCCUCCAGUUCCUCUUUGGGUAGUCUCUCAUUAGUGACGUACUGGGCCCAAAAUUCAUCCUGUGAAUUUAGAUGGAGAAUCCCCCCGGUGAGCCCCACUGAAGACGGAGUAUUUUUCUGUUCCUCUUGCCUUGUAACACAACUAACCCAUGAACGGUGACUGUAAUUUUAGGUCUCACGAUGUUUCCUGUAUCUACUAUAUGCAUAAUGUCUACCCAGCCUUAUAUACGGCAUCUCUAAUUAUUUGCUUAUU